Molecule: ribosomal RNA, 253 nt
Filed under: uncultured bacterium
Lineage: Bacteria
Description: partial 16S ribosomal RNA
Rfam family: Bacterial small subunit ribosomal RNA
Source: RNAcentral
UACGAAGGGCGCAAACGUUGCUCGGAAUUAUUGGGCGUAAAGCGCACGUAGGCGGCUUUGCAAGUCGGAUGUGAAAUCCCUCGGCUUAACCAAGGAAGUGCAUCCGAAACUGCAGAGCUUGAGUACUUAAGAGGAUCGCGGAAUUCCCGGUGUAGAGGUGAAAUUCGUAGAUAUCGGGAGGAACACCAGUGGCGAAGGCGGCGAUCUGGGAAGAUACUGACGCUGAGGUGCGAAAGCGUGGGGAGCAAACAGG